RNAcentral lists this ribosomal RNA (468 nucleotides) under uncultured bacterium. RNAcentral describes it as "partial 16S ribosomal RNA". It matches the Rfam family "Bacterial small subunit ribosomal RNA", at positions 28 to 507 of the family's 1533-position model. The record is from RNAcentral.
GACGAACGCUGGCGGCGGGCUUAACACAUGCAAGUCGAACGGAAAGGCCCUGCUUGUGUGGGGUGCUCGGGUGCCGAUCGGGUGAGUAAGACGAGUGCAACCUGCCCUUGUCUUUGGGAUAACUUCAGGAAACGGGGGCUAAUAUCGGACAGCAGACGCUGUGGCAGGGAGGGGGUGGGAAAGUUGCGGCGGGUGGGGAUGGAUGCGCGGCUUAUCAGCUUGUUGGUGGGGUGGUGGCUUACCAAGGCUUUGACGGGUAGCCGGCCUGGGAGCGUGACCGGCCUCAAGGGUCCUACGAGACGGCGCAGUGUCCAACGGUAGCCAGCAGUGGGGAACAUUGCACAAUGAGCGGGAGCCUGAUGAGACAACGCCGCGUGCGGAAUGACGGCCUGCGGGUUGUAAAAAGCAUUAGCCUGUGACGCCGCUGGUGUGACGGUAAUGAGUAAAGAAGCACCGGCUAACUUCGUG